GUGGCGAACGGGUGAGUAACACGUGAGCAACCUGCCCCCUACUUCGGGAUAAGCCUUGGAAACGAGGUCUAAUACCGGAUACGAGCACUUACCGCAUGGUGGGUGUUGGAAAGUUUUUCGGUAGGGGAUGGGCUCGCGGCCUAUCAGCUUGUUGGUGGGGUAAUGGCCUACCAAGGCGUCGACGGGUAGCCGGCCUGAGAGGGCGACCGGCCACACUGGGACUGAGACACGGCCCAGACUCCUACGGGAGGCAGCAGUGGGGAAUAUUGCACAAUGGGCGAAAGCCUGAUGCAGCGACGCCACGUGAGGGAUGACGGCCUUCGGGUUGUAAACCUCUUUCAGCAGGGAAGAAGCGAAAGUGACGGUACCUGCAGAAGAAGCGCCGGCUAACUACGUGCCAGCAGCCGCGGUAAUACGUAGGGCGCAAGCGUUGUCCGGAAUUAUUGGGCGUAAAGAGCUCGUAGGCGGUCUGUCGCGUCUGGUGUGAAAUCCCAUGGCUCAACUGUGGGCUUGCAUCGGGUACGGGCAGACUAGAGUGCUGUAGGGGAGACUGGAAUUCCUGGUGUAGCGGUGGAAUGCGCAGAUAUCAGGAGGAACACCGAUGGCGAAGGCAGGUCUCUGGGCAGUUACUGACGCUGAGGAGCGAAAGCAUGGGGAGCGAACAGGAUUAGAUACCCUG
RNAcentral lists this ribosomal RNA (679 nucleotides) under Promicromonospora sp. I12A-02016. RNAcentral describes it as "bacterial SSU rRNA". It matches the Rfam family "Bacterial small subunit ribosomal RNA", at positions 95 to 789 of the family's 1533-position model. The record is from RNAcentral. Lineage: Bacteria; Bacillati; Actinomycetota; Actinomycetes; Micrococcales; Promicromonosporaceae.